This 492-nucleotide ribosomal RNA is filed under the name uncultured bacterium. Its description in RNAcentral is "partial 16S ribosomal RNA". It matches the Rfam family "Bacterial small subunit ribosomal RNA", at positions 29 to 507 of the family's 1533-position model. The record is from RNAcentral.
AGUGAACGCUGGCGGUAGGCCUAGCACAUGCAAGUCGAACGGCAGCACAGUAAGAGCUUGCUCUUACGGGUGGCGAGUGGCGGACGGGUGAGGAAUACAUCGGAAUCUACUUUUUCGUGGGGGAUAACGUAGGGAAACUUACGCUAAUACCGCAUACGACCUACGGGUGAAAGCAGGGGAUCUUCGGACCUUGCGCGACUGAAUGAGCCGAUGUCGGAUUAGCUAGUUGGCGGGGUAAAGGCCCACCAAGGCGACGAUCCGUAGCUGGUCUGAGAGGAUGAUCAGCCACACUGGAACUGAGACACGGUCCAGACUCCUACGGGAGGCAGCAGUGGGGAAUAUUGGACAAAGGGCGCAAGCCUGAUCCAGCCAUACCGCGUGGGUGAAGAAGGCCUUCGGGUUGUAAAGCCCUUUUGUUGGGAAAGAAAAGCAGCAGGUUAAUACCCCGCUGUUCUGACGGUACCCAAAGAAUAAGCACCGGCUAACUUCGUG